GGGGUCGUAGUUCAGUGGCUAGAACGUCAGAUUGUGGAUCUGAUUGCCGUGGGUUCGAGUCCCAUCGACCCCC
Molecule: transfer RNA, 73 nt
Filed under: Spirochaetia bacterium
Lineage: Bacteria; Pseudomonadati; Spirochaetota; Spirochaetia
Description: tRNA-His
Rfam family: tRNA
About the family: Transfer RNA (tRNA) molecules are approximately 80 nucleotides in length.
Source: RNAcentral